This 205-nucleotide ribosomal RNA is filed under the name Salmonella enterica. RNAcentral describes it as "partial 16S ribosomal RNA". It matches the Rfam family "Bacterial small subunit ribosomal RNA", at positions 1 to 211 of the family's 1533-position model. Lineage: Bacteria; Pseudomonadati; Pseudomonadota; Gammaproteobacteria; Enterobacterales; Enterobacteriaceae. The record is from RNAcentral. RNAcentral also lists the same sequence under 5 other names.
UUAAAUUGAAGAGUUUGAUCAUGGCUCAGAUUGAACGCUGGCGGCAGGCCUAACACAUGCAAGUCGAACGGUAACAGGAAGCAGCUUGCUGCUUUGCUGACGAGUGGCGGACGGGUGAGUAAUGUCUGGGAAACUGCCUGAUGGAGGGGGAUAACUACUGGAAACGGUGGCUAAUACCGCAUAAUGUCGCAAGACCAAAGAGGGG